RNAcentral lists this ribosomal RNA (574 nucleotides) under Chaetodon mertensii (atoll butterflyfish). RNAcentral describes it as "partial 16S ribosomal RNA". It matches the Rfam family "Bacterial large subunit ribosomal RNA", at positions 1817 to 2597 of the family's 2925-position model. RNAcentral also lists the same sequence under 1 other name. The record is from RNAcentral. Lineage: Eukaryota; Metazoa; Chordata; Actinopteri; Chaetodontiformes; Chaetodontidae.
CGCCUCUUGCAAAAUUAAUGAAUAAGAGGUCCCGCCUGCCCUGUGACUAUAUGUUUAACGGCCGCGGUAUUUUGACCGUGCGAAGGUAGCGCAAUCACUUGUCUUUUAAAUGGAGACCUGUAUGAAUGGCAUAACGAGGGCCUAACUGUCUCCUUUUUCAAGUCAAUGAAAUUGAUCUUCCCGUGCAGAAGCGGAAAUAACUACAUAAGACGAGAAGACCCUAUGGAGCUUUAGACAAAAACAGACCAUGUUAAGCACCCUCAAAUAAGAGACCAAACCCGAUGCCUACUGCCUAAUGUCUUUGGUUGGGGUGACCGCGGCGAAACAAAUAACCCCCGUGUAGAAUAGAGGGCUCCUCCCUUCAAAUCGAGAGCUACCGCUCAAAUAAUCAGGAUACCUGACUAAGCAAGAUCCGGCAACGCCGAUCAACGGACCGAGUUACCCUAGGGAUAACAGCGCAAUCCCCUUCUAGAGCCCAUAUCGACAAGGGGGUUUACGACCUCGAUGUUGGAUCAGGACAUCCUAAUGGUGCAGCCGCUAUUAAGGGUUCGUUUGUUCAACGAUUAAUAGUCCU